Molecule: long non-coding RNA, 567 nt
Organism: Rhopalosiphum padi (bird cherry-oat aphid)
Lineage: Eukaryota; Metazoa; Arthropoda; Insecta; Hemiptera; Aphididae
Exons: 3
Source: RefSeq, a predicted model, not a curated record
GGCUAGUCAAUAAAAUCAUUUAACAGAAGUUGCCUGCAAGCUAAGUCGAACUGAACGUGAAGUUCUACUACAACGACUUUCGAACUAGUUUGUGUUAUACGCGUGUAUAGCGAAAACUUUACAGCCGUCCCGCAACCGAAUUUAUAUAGCUAAUUGCCCGGAGACUGUCAACGUGAUAGAUGAUUCGCCAGAGUGUAUUACAACUUGACGGCUAUACCAAACUAUAGCUCUUACGGACAAAAGAUCUUUCUUACAAAACAACUUGUUUAUAAUAUCCGAUUGGUACCGUAUAGUUGGUACGUAUAUUAUUGUGCGGUGUGUAUACGCAUAAGUGUUUUCGAUAAUAUUGUCGUGUCCGCAUCUGUGCUUUUCAGUACAGCGACAGGUUACUGUCCCAAUCUCAUCCCUGUCCCCUUCAAGUUACUAUUGUAAUUUAUAGAACCACAAUGUUAAUACUUUAUAAACUUAUACUAAUCUGCACGAUUUUAUGACUAUUUUUAUUAGGUAUAAUAUUUUUUUAACAUUCUAGUUUUUUCAAUAAAAAUUAUUGAGAAUUAUUUUUCAAAC